GGAGAGGUGUCCGAGCGGUUGAAGGAGGCGGUCUCGAAAACCGUUGUAGUCGUAACCCGGCUACCGUGGGUUCGAAUCCCACCCUCUCCGCCA
This 93-nucleotide transfer RNA is filed under the name Gemmatimonadota bacterium. RNAcentral describes it as "Gemmatimonadetes bacterium tRNA-Ser". It matches the Rfam family "tRNA". Rfam says of the family: Transfer RNA (tRNA) molecules are approximately 80 nucleotides in length. Their secondary structure includes four short double-helical elements and three loops (D, anti-codon, and T loops). The record is from RNAcentral. Lineage: Bacteria; Pseudomonadati; Gemmatimonadota.